GACGAACCUUGCUAACGUUAUUCGGAAUUACUGGGCUUAAAGGGUGCGUAGGCGGUUCAGAAAGUUGGGUGUGAAAGCCCUCGGCUCAACCGAGGAAUUGCGCCCAAAACUGCUGCACUAGAGGAAGACAGAGGUACGCGGAACUUAGGGUGGAGCGGUGAAAUGCGUUGAUAUCCUAAGGAACACCGGUGGCGAAAGCGGCGUACUGGGUCUUAUCUGACGCUGAGGCACGAAAGCUAGGGGAGCGAACGGG
This 253-nucleotide ribosomal RNA is filed under the name uncultured bacterium. RNAcentral's name for it is "partial 16S ribosomal RNA". It matches the Rfam family "Bacterial small subunit ribosomal RNA", at positions 524 to 776 of the family's 1533-position model. The record is from RNAcentral.